RNAcentral lists this ribosomal RNA (236 nucleotides) under uncultured bacterium. Its description in RNAcentral is "partial 16S ribosomal RNA". It matches the Rfam family "Bacterial small subunit ribosomal RNA", at positions 100 to 334 of the family's 1533-position model. The record is from RNAcentral.
CCGGCACGGGUGAGUAACACGUAUCCAACCUGCCGUCUACUCUUGGACAGCCUUCUGAAAGGAAGAUUAAUACAAGAUGGCAUCAUGAGUUCACAUGUUCACAUGAUUAAAGGUAUUCCGGUAGACGAUGGGGAUGCGUUCCAUUAGAUAGUAGGCGGGGUAACGGCCCACCUAGUCUUCGAUGGAUAGGGGUUCUGAGAGGAAGGUCCCCCACAUUGGAACUGAGACACGGCCAA